This 253-nucleotide ribosomal RNA is filed under the name uncultured bacterium. Its description in RNAcentral is "partial 16S ribosomal RNA". It matches the Rfam family "Bacterial small subunit ribosomal RNA", at positions 524 to 776 of the family's 1533-position model. The record is from RNAcentral.
UACGUAGGGUGCAAGCGUUGUCCGGAAUUAUUGGGCGUAAAGAGCUCGUAGGCGGUUUGUCGCGUCUGCUGUGAAAACUCGGGGCUCAACCCCGAGCUUGCAGUGGGUACGGGCAGACUAGAGUGCGGUAGGGGAGACUGGAAUUCCUGGUGUAGCGGUGGAAUGCGCAGAUAUCAGGAGGAACACCGGUGGCGAAGGCGGGUCUCUGGGCCGUAACUGACGCUGAGGAGCGAAAGCAUGGGGAGCGAACGGG